Molecule: small nuclear RNA, 104 nt
Organism: Mustela lutreola (European mink)
Lineage: Eukaryota; Metazoa; Chordata; Mammalia; Carnivora; Mustelidae
Source: RefSeq, a predicted model, not a curated record
GUGCUCGCUUCAGCAGCACAUAUACUAAAAUUGUAACGAUACAGAGAUUAGCAUGGCCCCUGCGCAAGGAUGACAUGUAAAUUCAUGAUGCGUUUCAUAUUUUA